Molecule: ribosomal RNA, 371 nt
Filed under: uncultured bacterium
Lineage: Bacteria
Description: bacterial SSU rRNA
Rfam family: Bacterial small subunit ribosomal RNA
Source: RNAcentral
GAACCGUCCGAACGUUAUUCGGAAUCACUGGGCUUAAAGGGUGCGUAGGCGGCGCGGAAAGUUGGGUGUGAAAUCCCUCGGCUUAACCGAGGAACGGCGCCCAAAACUACCGUGCUCGAGGGAGAUAGAGGUGAGCGGAACUUAGGGUGGAGCGGUGAAAUGCGUUGAUAUCCUAAGGAACACCGGUGGCGAAAGCGGCUCACUGGAUCUCUUCUGACGCUGAUGCACGAAAGCUAGGGUAGCGAACGGGAUUAGAUACCCCGGUAGUCCUAGCCGUAAACGAUGAGCACUGGAUUGGAAGGUCCUCCAUAGCCUUCCGGUCGCAACGAAAGCGUUAAGUGCUCCGCCUGGGGAGUAUGGUCGCAAGGCUG